GGUACAGUGGCAGCUAUUCUCAUGUGUCCGCUAGAAGUUAGAAUGACAUGGCUGCUGUCUUCCUCUGUGAAGCUUUUUAUAUCUGAAGUUUAGCUGAACACCAUGGUGUUUUUUAUAUCUGAAGUUUAGUUGAACGCCAUGGCUGAAGCCCAUUAUCAACUGAAUGACAUUUCUUAAAUUUCUUAAAUGUCAUGCAUUUACCUGAACCUUUUCAUUUCUUAAAGGUGACCUUGGAAAAAGAAGGGCUUUUUUCCUUGUUUAGAGGAUUAGGCCAGUUGAUUGAGGGUGGGUCCUUCUAGAGCAACAUACUUUGCUGAUUAUUCAAACUGCAUGAAAAAGCUGAAUGCUAUAAUGGACUGUGAUUCUACCUGGUACAUUAUUUCAGCUACAGUGGCAGGUUUUACUGUACUUAUAGCAACCAACCCCAGUUGACUUAAAGAGACUCAGAUAUAGCUUGACUACAGG
This 465-nucleotide long non-coding RNA is filed under the name Homo sapiens (human). RNAcentral describes it as "non-protein coding lnc-ZNF583-3:1". The record is from RNAcentral. Lineage: Eukaryota; Metazoa; Chordata; Mammalia; Primates; Hominidae.